CAAUAAUGCAACAAGUUUCAAGGCUAUGCUAUGACUCUUUCAGUACACAAUAUACUGUUGUAACCCCAAGUUAAUGGAACUUCCCCAAAUCCGGGAAUCUCCCACGACUGUGCACUUACGACUUAUUAUAAACAACAGAUAAGCUAUUCAGACUUUAUGAUGCCAUCUUGAACUAAGUCAGGAAAAUUUCCAUGACGUAUGCACCCUUUAG
Non-coding RNA from Pelobates cultripes (western spadefoot toad), 211 nucleotides. The record is from the annotation of a GenBank genome assembly. NCBI's taxonomy places the organism in Eukaryota, Metazoa, Chordata, Amphibia, Anura, Pelobatidae.